GAAAUAUCCCACACCUGGAGGCAGCCGGCACUGUCCCCUGAGACCAGGACGCUGUUGUCACGGUGAUCAGAGCUCAGGGAUAACACACGCUCACCUGGCCGACCCGGGCCGCAGAGCUGUCCUGGGAUCAGGAAGGUGCCUACAGGUUGGCUGGGAGUCUAACACCGUAUUCUGCAGGAGUCCCUUGCACAGAAGAGUAGGAUUUCCUCCAAGACAUUUAUCAAUGGCUCCAGAAAUACAGAGAGCCCCCCUGCGAGGAGACCAGCACGGCUCUGUUUCUCCACUGUCUGUCAGCCGCCCUGCGCUGCAGAAACAGCAGGUGGUCUACAGGGGGCGCCACCCUGAACCAGAGUACACAAACACCACCACCUCUCCAUCGUAGCUCGCUGUGGCAAUGACCCCCAGGGCGGGGCACGGGCACACGGCCAGGAUGUCCGACUUAUGCACGCCCUCGGACUUCCACGCCAUGUCAGCCUUCACGUACACAUCCUACACAGCGAGAU
Molecule: long non-coding RNA, 503 nt
Organism: Gadus morhua (Atlantic cod)
Lineage: Eukaryota; Metazoa; Chordata; Actinopteri; Gadiformes; Gadidae
Exons: 4
Source: RefSeq, a predicted model, not a curated record